This 200-nucleotide ribosomal RNA is filed under the name uncultured bacterium. Its description in RNAcentral is "partial 16S ribosomal RNA". It matches the Rfam family "Bacterial small subunit ribosomal RNA", at positions 1293 to 1500 of the family's 1533-position model. The record is from RNAcentral.
UCGGACUGGAGUCUGCAACCCGACUCCACGAAGUUGGAUUCGCUAGUAAUCGCGCAUCAGCCAUGGCGCGGUGAAUACGUUCCCGGGCCUUGUACACACCGCCCGUCAAGCCAUGGGAGCCGGGGGCGCCUGAAGUCCGGGACCGCGAGGACCGGCCUAAGGCGAAACUGGUGACUGGGGCUAAGUCGUAACAAGGUACC